UUCCAAUGAACCGUCUGAGGCUGAAGAGAGACAAGAACACACGGAGCAGGGACAACCAGAGGAGCAGGAAGACCUUCAGUAUGCCAGCAUACACUUCUCUAAAACCCAGGAGCCUCUGUACAGCAAUACCAGACCAGCUCGGCCCCCCAGAGAACGGAGCAGCAGGACGUCACUGAGUACGCUGCCGUCAAAUUUACCAGGAACAGCACCGCCAUGAGAACCAGAAGUAAAGAACCUGAAGAGGAUCCAGCUGCUCUGUACAGCACCGUCAACAAAAGCCGAUGACCUCGACAGGCACUGUGUUCACACUCUGUUUUAGAUUUCAUAUAUUUGAAUGUAUGCAGGUCGCUUCUGAUUUUACAACACAUGUCUUAUGAACUGCUACUUAAAGAUUAUACCUUUGUAAUGAUUUUAACGGCCUGAUAAAUGUAACAUAAAGCAGCCUCGUUUUUUACCUCCAAUCUGUCAAAUCUACCACACACGGGAAGUAUUUCAUGACUUAGACUGGGUGGUAUGUAGGGAUGUGCGCCAUUAGCAUGCUAAUGCUAGGUACCAGAUCUGCUCGGGUGGUCACAUCUGCUCGGGGUCUUGUGUCUGCUUAUUUACAUUACACAAUAUGAUCGACUGUACGCCUGUAUGAUGAUGUAGCACAUGCUCAGAGGGGUUUCACUUGGUCCCCCCAUUAUGUCUCUGCCUCAUUCAGGUUGAAGACAAAACGUCACAGGGACGUUAAUAUCGCAGCUUGAAACGGCAGUCUGAACAGGGCUACAGAGAAGCAGACCAGACCUCUGGUUUCAGAGAAACAACGUCUUUUUGUUCUGUUGAAGGUCAGAGCAGGAACGUGGAAAAACAUUGACCUCCGUUUUCUAUAGAAUACCAUCAGUGGCGAAUCUAGAGUCUGUUGGGGCCCUAGGAAAAAGUUAAUUGGGGGCCCCUCCAACCCGUUUCAAUCAUCAUGUCCCGACGCUUCCUGUCUUUUUUUUAACUCACAUUUUUCCUGUUCUGACAAAGGUUGGUUUGCAAAGGAGAGGGAGUGCUGUCAGAUGGGGCCCCCUUUAGGGAGGUAUCCUACUGUCGUUGCAAAAUUUGUACAUUUUGAGCCACUGCUGUGGUUUAAAGUUUGUCAGCCCUUGGAGGCCCCCUACUGGCCUGGGGGCCCAAUCAGCUGCCUGCCUUACCUGUUGA
Labrus bergylta (ballan wrasse) is the source of this 1185-nucleotide non-coding RNA. Lineage: Eukaryota; Metazoa; Chordata; Actinopteri; Labriformes; Labridae. The record is from RefSeq and is a predicted model, not a curated record.